Molecule: ribosomal RNA, 477 nt
Filed under: Bacillus sp. oral taxon A08
Lineage: Bacteria; Bacillati; Bacillota; Bacilli; Caryophanales; Bacillaceae
Description: bacterial SSU rRNA
Rfam family: Bacterial small subunit ribosomal RNA
Source: RNAcentral
CGGGCGUCUUAACAUGCAAGUCGAGCGAACAGAAAAGGAGCUUGCUCCUUUGACGUUAGCGGCGGACGGGUGAGUAACACGUGGGCAACCUACCCUAUAGUUUGGGAUAACUCCGGGAAACCGGGGCUAAUACCGAAUAAUCUCUUUUGCUUCAUGGCAAAAGACUGAAAGACGGUUUCGGCUGUCGCUAUAGGAUGGGCCUGCGGCGCAUUAGCUAGUUGGUGAGGUAACGGCUCACCAAGGCGACGAUGCGUAGCCGACCUGAGAGGGUGAUCGGCCACACUGGGACUGAGACACGGCCCAGACUCCUACGGGAGGCAGCAGUAGGGAAUCUUCCACAAUGGGCGCAAGCCUGAUGGAGCAACGCCGCGUGAGUGAAGAAGGUUUUCGAAUCGUAAAACUCUGUUGUAAGGGAAGAACAAGUACAGUAGUAACUGGCUGUACCUUGACGGUACCUUAUUAGAAAGCCACGGCUAA